Molecule: long non-coding RNA, 2583 nt
Organism: Neocloeon triangulifer
Lineage: Eukaryota; Metazoa; Arthropoda; Insecta; Ephemeroptera; Baetidae
Exons: 3
Source: RefSeq, a predicted model, not a curated record
UGAAGGGACUUAUAAUAUCAAUGUACCAUCUCUCUCUCUCUCUCUCGCUCUCGCCUCUCCACGCCCUCCUCAAAAGUGUUCCUCGGGUGCUGGUGGCUGCUUUUUUGCCUCUGGCAGCCCGCCGAGGCGAACAGCACCCCCGGCCGCUCCUCGACGGCCGCAUUAACUUGAUAAUUAGCUGUGUUAGGACUUGCAGAUGAGAGGAGAAAGACAGACUUGCUCGCUCGCUCGCUCAGCCCCGCUCGCUCUUUCGCUCACUUGGUGCUUUUCCCUCGCACGAAUUGGGACCACACUCCGGUCGUGAACGACGCCUCGGCAGGACCCCCGGACGCCGCACCCCUGCCCACCGGCGAUACUGCACCGCCGGACGGAGGACCACGUGCUCACCAACAUGGCCGCCGCCGACACGCAAGCAAGGCGCAUGGAUUUGGCUGCAAAAUCGCGGGUGGCGCGACGCACCGCGCAUUUUCUGCCCGGGGAGAUGCGGAAUGUGGAUUAUGUUUGGCGCGAGUCAAUAAAAAGCGUGCAGAGGCGCUGCGUUUUUCCGAGGCCAAAAGGUGAACUGUGGCAGAUAAGCCCGGCGCUGAUCUGCUCUGGGCUGAGAGAAGAAAAGAGGAAAGAAGCGAGCAGCAUGUGUACACAGCGAGUCGUGUCUGAGGUGAUUAGAAUUGCUAAUGGCCGCGUGCAAUAAUACCGAGAGCGAGGCUGCUGUUCUCAAUAUGGAGCGAGCCGGCGACUGUAUCAGCAAAGAAGAAGCUCCUCUCUUCGUUUUUUCCAAGGGGCAAAAGCAAUAACACCGAAGUAAGAGAAGAGAGAGUCGAAUCUGGCUGCAGCAUUUUCUCAUAAAGAAAGCAGCUGCCGAGAGAUAGAAAGAAAAAGCCUCCUGAAUUCUGAAAUGAGAUGGAACUCGAACAUCUGUUUUCCGCCAGACAAGAUUAAAAACGGGUCUCUCUUAUUGUUUUCACCGAGAGAGAGAAAAAAAUUCGGCAGGCCUCAAUCAAAUUCUGACCCUCUUUUAUUAAUUUUAUUUUUUGCCAGCAUUCGCAUGAAAAAUUCAUGCAGUCCGCAGAAUUUUUUUCUUUCGAUUCAUUCAGAAAUUCUCUUUCCUUGUGUGGAAGAGAGUGGGGUUAACAAGUGUGUAAUUAAUUAUCAUUCGGCACGGAUUGGCCGUCCUGAUUGGAAUACAAAGGUCUCGAGCAUUUGAUAUUCUCGAGCCACCGGAAUAAAUUUGCUACUAAUCACCUGCGAGCAGAAGGAUGUGUUUAUUUGCGCCUCUUUAAAUUUAUAUGAGCGCAGACCGGCCUGUCAAACGCGCUCAGUGCGAAAGUUGAAUUAAUUUGAAUGGGUCUCCGGAGAGCGGAAUUCAUAAAUAUGUAAUUGCAGCGUGCUCUCGCUCGCACUUGUAGCUCUUAUACGUUCAAACGCAGCUCAUUAUAUUGACUAAAGGUCGUGUUUGUUUUGCUUAAUAUGGAAAACGAACAAACAGCCAGAUCAAGACUGCAAAAUAGAAUCAAAUAAAAAUUACAUAGCUGCAGUACUUUGGCAAUGAAAAUUUUAAAAUUUUUAAUUUUAAUUAUUUAUUUUAUUCCCCAAUAAAGAUGUAAUAAUAAAAACAGAAAGUUUUGGAAAUAUGAAACUAGACUAAACCGAAAAAAUAAGGGUCUUGUUUACAAGUAAUACAAUAAUUCAUACAUCUAUUGAGUUUACAUAAUAUCAUGUUUGUCAAGAUAGUUUGAUAAUAUAUGAAAAUUCCAAAUUAUGCUAAAAUUAAGUUUCUAAACUUUUUUUUUUUUAUAUCUAUUACAAAUAUUUGCGAUAUUUAGUAGACAAGUAAUAAAAAUAAGAACAAAUCACAUAAUUGUAGGUUAAAGAAAAACACCAAUAUUGAAGCCGAAUAUAUACAAAACUGACUUCUUUUGUGAAAAAAGCCUAAACACAGACCAAAUCGGACCUAAUUUAAAAAUAAAAACAUUAAACUUAGUUUUUUUAAAUUUGAAAAUUAAUGGGUUUUUUUUGUUAAGCUCAUAAAUCAAUGGAUAUUUUAAUUCUACUCUUUGAAUAUUCUCUUUAAAUUAAAUAAGUUUUGUUUCACUUAUAACAAUUGAAAUUGUUGCUUAAUAAAAUAAUAGCAAAAUCUGUAAAUAACCGAUGAUAAAGGGCGAGUUUAAUCUCAUCGGAUAUUUCUGCAAAGGAAUACUGAGCAACUAAAAACACAAACACUCGUAGGAAUAUAGAAUUCCAGUCCGGUGAUUCCCAGCAAGGCGCCCUCGGCUAAUAUUUUUAUUUAGUUUCACGCUCGGAUUCACAGCUCUGUUUGUGUUUGUUCUGUCCAAUUGCCCCUCAAGAUGUUUAUACGCACGUUCGCAGGUGAUGCUUUUCUCUCCGAAAAAAAAUCCUUAACGCUUCUGUGCCGAAAAAGCGGAGAAACAAAAGCAAGAGAAAAUCUCGCUUGAGGCGAAAUUAUUUCCAGUGGAAUGAGCGAUGAUUUAUUUGCUAAAUAAAUUCUUUAAACUAAAAAGAGAUGCAAAAUAAAAAAUAACACUUUGUUUUUUUUAUGUAAUUUAUUAACAUUAAAAUUUUAAA